This 425-nucleotide ribosomal RNA is filed under the name uncultured bacterium. RNAcentral describes it as "partial 16S ribosomal RNA". It matches the Rfam family "Bacterial small subunit ribosomal RNA", at positions 354 to 796 of the family's 1533-position model. The record is from RNAcentral.
GUGGGGAAUCUUGCGCAAUGGGCGAAAGCCUGACACAGCCAUGCCGCGUGAAUGAUGAAGGUCUUAGGAUUGUAAAAUUCUUUCACCGGGGACGAUAAUGACGGUACCCGGAGAAGAAGCUCCGGCUAACUUCGUGCCAGCAGCCGCGGUAAUACGAAGGGGGCUAGCGUUGCUCGGAAUUACUGGGCGUAAAGGGCGCGUAGGCGGACAGCUUAGUCAGAGGUGAAAGCCCAGGGCUCAACCUUGGAAUUGCCUUUGAUACUGGCUGUCUUGAGUUUGGGAGAGGUGAGUGGAACUCCGAGUGUAGAGGUGAAAUUCGUAGAUAUUCGGAAGAACACCAGUGGCGAAGGCGACUCACUGGCCCAAUACUGACGCUGAGGCGCGAAAGCGUGGGGAGCAAACAGGAUUAGAUACCCCUGUAGUCC